AAGAGAUUAGUUAAAUUAUAAUAUAAGAUUGUCAGUCUUACGUUACUAGUGAAAUUAGUAUUUCUUA
RNAcentral lists this transfer RNA (67 nucleotides) under Conus unifasciatus. RNAcentral's name for it is "tRNA-Asp". The record is from RNAcentral. Lineage: Eukaryota; Metazoa; Mollusca; Gastropoda; Neogastropoda; Conidae.